Haemorhous mexicanus (house finch) is the source of this 5458-nucleotide long non-coding RNA. RefSeq lists it as uncharacterized. The record is from RefSeq and is a predicted model, not a curated record. The transcript is spliced from 4 exons. NCBI's taxonomy places the organism in Eukaryota, Metazoa, Chordata, Aves, Passeriformes, Fringillidae.
GGCUGCGCCCCCCCAGCGCACACUCUCACCCCCCCAUCACGGUUUUUUAUUUUUCGUCCUGAUGUGUUUUAAAUGUGAGUCCCCGUCCCUGCCAGCGCUCCCGGCCGCCCCCCCGCCCCCGGCAGCGCGUUAUUUCGAGGCGAGCGGCGGGUCCGGCGGGAAGGGGCGGCGGGGCGGUUGCCAGGGGCGUUCGGGGGAAUCCGCUAUUUCCCUUCCCCUGUGCUCCCCGCUCGUCCCUCUUCCCUCCCCCGGGCACAGGGGACGCGGGGCGGGUGGAUCGGGAGUGGCGCGGAGUACCCGGUGUCCGGCGGCGAACGGUCCGGGCGCUUUGGUCCCACCGAAAAAAGGUAUAAUUACGCUACCAGGUAUAAAUUGACUCUGUGUACCACUGAAUCAUACUGAAUAUUUGUAAUGUGUUCCUUCCCUAAUAGAUGCUCUCUAUGAAUAGAGAGAGUGCCUAUUUACUCUGAAAUACUUGGCACAGUGAGUGGAGUCUGAAGCAUGGAAGAAGUGGCUAUUAUUUUCCCACUGCCUGUGUGCAGCUGUCAUUUCUGAGCAACACGUUCCUCGUUCCUCUCACAUCCCUGCUUCCAACCUUCCUGAUGGUCCGCCCCAGGAUUACAACAAGAAGAGAAUGGCAUGCCACCUCAUUCAGCCAAAACCUUAACACUGUGGUUUGUAUUUGACUGAAUCCAGGACGUAAGCAUUGUGGCUUGCAUUAAGUCAUUGCAGAUAACUGGUAUGAUUAUUGUUGGGUUUUUUUUCCUUUCUUUUUUUAACCGGGAGGAUGGCUCUUUCCCCGCCUCCUGUGUAUGAUUUGAAUAUUCAGUGAUGUCAUGUUGUUUGACCUCCUCUUUAACGCAAGGAAUGCCAAUGUUUUGGCUUUUGACCUGUGGAAGUAUGUUAGUGUUUAGUAAGAGAGACCGGCUUGAUGCAUGUAAUAAGCAAUCUAAAAUCUGGUAGUACCUUAAGAGAUACGUCAUCUUUUGGAUGCAGGCUUUCCCCCACUGCUGUUCUACCUUGCUCCCCACUUCUUUCCAUCCCUCCAUAUGUAGGCAUACUUCCAUGCUAUGAUGCUGUGAUAGUAAAACAAGAUUCAUGAGGGGAAAAGAAGGUCUUCUAUGUAAUGUCCCAGUAGGACCAUUGUGCUGUAAAACUGCUACUUAUAUUCUGCCAGCAUUAUACUGCGUCUGGUAAAGUCAUUUGGAUGUCAUUUCUUCUACUUGAAAUUCUCCAUUAAAAGAAAUGAGAUUGUCUUUGAAAGAAAAAAUGAACCCCAGAGGAACAGUUAUGGUAAAUAAUAAAUGUUCCCAAAACCAUGAGGUCUCCUAAAAUCUGUAUUUACUUGAAGGACUCCAGUGGCCUCAGUGCUGGGUAAAUAGUAUGUGUACCAAACUAUGUAUGACAUGCAUACCAAAAUGCAAAUGUAACCAGGUAAACAGAAUGCCUUUUUUAAAUGCCUAAAUAUGGUAGAACAUCAGAGAGAGAGAGAGAGAGGCUCUAGACAUGUUUUAUAACUUUCCAUGUAAGAGAUACAAUUUUAUGGAACAAAACUGAAGAAUCUCACUGACAGAAAAAGUAUGUUUAAAAGUAACAAACUACCAGAAACCCAGGAAAUCCAAAAUUAAAGGAUAAAACUGUCCUAAGUCCUCCCACUGCAGGCCAAGUACAGCAAGCCCCAUACACUUGCUGCCCUGAGAAAAAUGGCUUGAAUAGUUACUUGAAUUCCGAACUAAAUCUGGUCUUGCACCACUGUGUAUCAGGCAUUAGCCUACUAAAUUAGAAGUUGUAUCAGCACAUGCAGGUUGGUAAGAAUCAGAGUCCACAGGAGUGCCUUUUGGUCAUCUUGGUUUCCAUGUUGUUAGAUGUGUCUAACAAUGGGUACCUCCUUGGUGCGCGUGUAUGUACGCACAGGGGCAAAGGGAGCUUGAAAGCAAAGGCAGUUCUUGCAGACUCCAAUCUGUCUUCAGCUUAUCCUUUCUGAUGACAACCACAGGAUCCUCAAGGUUGGAAGAGACCUUCAAGAUCAUUUAGUCCAGCCAGCAAUGUUACCCCACCAUAAUCACCCCUAAACAGUACCCCAGGAUGCCACAUCCAGGUGCGUCUUGAGUAUGCCACAGGUUAGACAAGUACAUCCUGGAAUUGAUGCAUAAAAUGGUUAAAAUGCACUAAUUUUGACUUCCUUGCAGGUGUUUAUACAGCACAUGCUUUUAAGAUAGUAUAUUUUUUUUGCUGAAACUAGGAAUUCACUACACCAGCCUUGCAGACUUGUUUACACAGCUAUAUACGGUAUGUGUGUGUCUACAUCAGCUUCAGUUGGUGAAGUCUUGUAAAAUGUACAGGUGUGGAUUGCUACAUUCCUCUCUUGUGUUUUUCCUUCUUUUUUUUUUCCUGCUUCCCCCAAAAAGUCACUUGAUCAGGUAUCAGACAUAGUGAAAACCUGGCAAGACUACAGGAAAGUGGCUAGACUUGGAGUGUUUGUGUACUUAAAGAAAGAAUCUUGCACAUUUUCAACUUUCAGUCACAGAUAUUUUUUUUAUAAGAGCAAUUGGAGGUCUGAGCCAGCCCUCAAAGCGGAAAUCAAAAGCUCCCAGAGAAACAUACCCGAGGAAUGUGAAUCUGAUCCAACAACCAUACGCAAUGCACAUACAGUACUGUCAGUCUUAUAGGAAGUCUUGCCAUAUAUGGACAUCUGGACCCUGAGCUGUUUAUCAUCACGAUAGGCUUGUAGCUGGCUUCAGACAUUUCUGGCUUGCCUCGGGUUUAGUGUGCCAAUUAGUUCCUUUCCCAAAAUGCUCACCAGGAUAUUUCUUUAAAAUUGUAAUAAAUACAUCUCAAAAUUCGGAGAGGUCUGGUUAAAGUUACGUUAGUAGGCUUUUGCUUAAAAUGCAGAUUCCAAGAAAGACUUACUCUGCUAGCUCAGAAAUAGACACAGAGUAAAAAUAAAGAGAUUUAUUCCAUCAUUAAUGUGGUUGCCUGGUAUUUCUCUUUCUUAGAAGUCAUCUGGUAGCUUAUUCUAUGUACCUGCAGGCAUAGAAGGGGCUCUGAAGUAGAUCACUUGCUGAACUUUUACUCAUCCUUUUCUGAAGAGAUGCAUGAUCUCAUCAAUCCACAGAGGCAAAGAAAAGACCACAUUUCCCAGGAUCUGUCAAGCAACUUAUCUGUGUUAUGCAAUUUGUACUGCUUGGUUAGAGUGGUACAUAGCCUUUCACCUUGUAGCUAUGACAAUUCACGUCAGCUAAUCUUACUAAUGCGAGCCAUUAGCUCUUCUCCAAAGUGAACCAGAAUUAGAAGCCAGGGAGGGGCAGUGGAUGGCAUAGGCUAUGGACAUGUUUGUUGCUGAAAUGGCAGAUCUAGUCCAAAUUCCUCAAAAUACUGUUUCAGAUUCUCUGCUGGCAUCAGUUGGGUAGUUCACUAAAUGCACUGUUGGCCAUCCAAAUAUUGGAAUUUGAAAAGUGCAAGUCCAUUGGGCUAAAGCAAAACCAUCAGAUGCAGUUCCCAUUAGCAGACCUGAGUUUUGUUGUUUUCCGUAAUAUCUUUCUUAGUGUAUUAAGGUGCAAAUAUUUUGUUACUUCUAGAGUCUCUGAGAAUGCUACUUUAAGCACCUGGCUUUAUUCUUAAAAAGUAACUGGAGUUUUUGUGAAUGUGUGUGGUCUUAAACCAGCAAAGUGAUUACUGGAAGUAAUCUAAAUGGAUAUUCAAAGCACAUGUUAAACUAUUCACAUGAAAGUGUGAUUAUGAGUACUGUGAAGCUAAAUGUCCUUUACCUACUGAGCCCGAGAUUCAGUUUAUCUUAUUUUAUUCUGAAAAAUUUGCCACAGAUCUGGUCUUAGAUCUGUAGGAGCAACAUUCACUACUUCUGUGAGGAGGCUGGCUGUGUCCUGGGUUUUUCUGGGGAAACGCAGAGUCCUUCCACGGCUGGCAAUGGACAAGCUGAGGUGCACAAAAAUUACUGCAUACCAGUCCACCGCAGGAGGAAAAGGUCUGGCAUUGUGUCUUUGGAUUGCAGACAGGCAGGAGAGACAGAAUGUUUGUCAUCAGGAUCCCUUGCACGUACUCUGGAGCCACAGCUGAAAAUUUUUAAGUUACGCACACACGUUGCACCACCGUGAAGACAUGUCCUCCAGAUGAUGUAAACCAACUGUUUCAAUGCAUAAAGUUUGCCUUCAACCUGCAGAGAUACGAGAAUAUCCCAUUUUUACCACCUGUGGAAAAUCAGGCAUAAUAACAAACUGAUGACCAGGGCAGUGACUGAAGCAGAGAUAAGAUAAGCAGAGAUAAGACUGAAGCAGAGAGGAUUAUUGCCACUGAAGGCUCAGCCCUCCUUCCUUCCCAUGUCCCAGAUCCUUGGAGAGAGAAGAGGCAGAACAGUUCCUCAAGCCAGCAAGAGGCUUUGCUUAUGGGACACUGUAGGAAGGACUGUGCCAUUCUGGCAGAAAUGAGGAACAAUUAUUCUGUCUGCUGUUCAACCUUCUCUUCAGGAAAAGACAAGGACCAGGGAGAUGAAAGAUCUUGAACUUCACGUGUGUCCAGCAUCUGUGACCAGAUGGGAUAUGGGAUAUCUGGGAUAUCCCAUGGGAUGUGGGAUAUCUGUCACCAUCUGGGAUAUGCCACCAACUAUGGGAAGCAACCUAUGUGAAAAUGAAGAAUGUGCUACAAAUGUGAUGGUCUUUUUCAAGAAUUUCUGCUUCCCAGAGAGAUUUGACAAUCUUGCUUCAGCACCAGCUGGGGUGUGGCAAGCAGUCUGGCCAGGAAUACUGGCUGAAAUGUGAAAUCUCUUCAGUCCCAUGGGUGGUCUUCUAGCAACCCUUGCGGAGGUGAUGUGGUGUUUACAGGUAAUGGUGCUUGGCAACUGGUCUGCCCCAGCCACAUAGUCUGGAAGGAAAGGGGAUUGGUUUGGGCAGGUUUGGUGGGUGCACUCACUAUUUUAUUGACUUCUUUCUUAGCAAUAGAGGUAUAAGGAGCUGAAGGAUCUUUUGCAGAUACAGAAGAAAUCAUGUGCAUUUCCACUAAACUUUAAUUGGAGGCUAUUAACAUACAGCAUUUGAUCCUCAUAGAAAGAGCAGUGCAAAAGGGAGGAAUAGUUUUUUACAUCCCUUCACUCCCAGGAGGGUACACAAGGGGAAUCAUGUCAGAUUUCUUCUUGGUGCAUUUGCUCUGCUUGCUAGCUUGGAAAGUUGGGGUUUUUUGUUUGUUUUACUGGAUAUUAUUGAAAUGCUGGAGAAAAGAAAAGCCUGAAACUGUUCCAUAGGCUGUUAUAGUCUUAUAAAUUUAAAUAGUAAAGUAAAUAAAGUAUUGUGUCUGGCAGUUCUCUUUAGCUGUGAUAGACAUUUAUAGUUACGAGUACAAUGGAUAUUGUUAGCCAUCACUUUACCUCCACAAAACCCCUCCAUUUACUAAAAGUCUGGAUGGAAUAAUGACCCCAAAUUAAUGAUAAUAAAAAACAUUUUUACAGCCA